GAGCAAUGAUGAAAAGGUUUUUUAGUACUGACCUUUACAGCUAUGAAGGUUUCUACACUUGAUCUGAGCUCA
Neofelis nebulosa (Clouded leopard) is the source of this 72-nucleotide small nucleolar RNA. RefSeq annotates it as small nucleolar RNA U2-30. The record is from RefSeq and is a predicted model, not a curated record. Lineage: Eukaryota; Metazoa; Chordata; Mammalia; Carnivora; Felidae. The transcript has a single exon.